GAUGAACGCUGGCGGCGUGCCUAAUACAUGCAAGUCGAGCGAACAGACGAGGAGCUUGCUCCUCUGACGUUAGCGGCGGACGGGUGAGUAACACGUGGAUAACCUACCUAUAAGACUGGGAUAACUUCGGGAAACCGGAGCUAAUACCGGAUAAUAUAUUGAACCGCAUGGUUCAAUAGUGAAAGACGGUUGUGCUGUCACUUAUAGAUGGAUUCGCGCCGCAUUAGCUAGUUGGUAAGGUAACGGCUUACCAAGGCGACGAUGCGUAGCCGACCUGAGAGGGUGAUCGGCCACACUGGAACUGAGACACGGUCCAGAGUCCUACGGGAGGCAGCAGUAGGGAAUCUUCCGCAAUGGGCGAAAGCCUGACGGAGCAACGCCGCGUGAGUGAUGAAGGUCUUCGGAUCGUAAAACUCUGUUAUUAGGGAAGAACAAAUGUGUAAGUAACUAUGCACGUCUUGACGGUACCUAAUCAGAAAGCCACGGCUAACUACGUG
Molecule: ribosomal RNA, 497 nt
Filed under: uncultured bacterium
Lineage: Bacteria
Description: partial 16S ribosomal RNA
Rfam family: Bacterial small subunit ribosomal RNA
Source: RNAcentral